UGAGGAAUUUUGCGCAAUGGGAGCAAUCCUGACGCAGCAACGCCGCGUGGGUGAUGAAGGCCUUCGGGUCGUAAAGCCCUGUCAGGUGGGAAGAAUGUCCCGGGACUGAACAGGUUUCGGGAGUGACGGUACCACCAGAGGAAGCACCGGCUAACUCCGUGCCAGCAGCCGCGGUAAUACGGAGGGUGCAAGCGUUAUUCGGAAUUAUUGGGUUUAAAGGGUGCGUAGGUGGCUUUUUAAGUCAGUGGUGAAAUACAGCCGCUCAACGGUUGAGGUGCCAUUGAUACUGAAGAGCUUGAAACAAGUGGAGGCUGCCGGAAUGGAUGGUGUAGCGGUGAAAUGCAUAGAUAUCAUCCAGAACACCGAUUGCGAAGGCAGGUGGCUACGUUUGAUUUGACACUGAGGCACGAAAGCAUGGGGAGCAAACA
This 428-nucleotide ribosomal RNA is filed under the name uncultured prokaryote. RNAcentral describes it as "bacterial SSU rRNA". It matches the Rfam family "Bacterial small subunit ribosomal RNA", at positions 355 to 774 of the family's 1533-position model. The record is from RNAcentral.